UUAAUUGAUAGAAUAAAUUAUGACAAGGUGAAAUGCAUAUAAAAUGGUAAAAUAUACAACUCAAUAAAUUCAACAAAGUUUAAUCUAUUGAGUUGGGGAAAAGGGAAAUGAAAAAAAAAAAAAAAUAAAUAAAAUAAAAUAGUAAAUAAAUAGUAAAUAUAUAGUAAAUAAAUAGUAAAUAAAUAGUAAAUAAAUAGUAAAUAAAUAGUAAAUAAAUAGUAAAUAUAUAGUAAAUAAAUAGUAAAUAAAUAGUAAAUAAAUAGUAAAUAAAUAGUAAAUAAAUAGUAAAUAAAUAGUAAAUAAAUAGUAAAUAUAUAGUAAAUAAAUAGUAAAUAAAUAGUAAAUAUAUAGUAAAUAAAUAGUAAAUAAAUAGUAAAUAUAUAGUAAAUAAAUAGUAAAUAAAUAAAGGUAAAAAAAAAAGUACUUAUAAUAUAAGUCUAUGCGUUUUUGACAUAUUACUAUUUUUUUUUUUUUUUUUUUUUUUAUUUUUAUUUUAUUAUUUUUUUUUUUUUAAUUACAACUUAGAUUAAAGCUUUCAUUCUGUUUGUUUCUGCAACUGCUUCAUUAAAUUUCUUUUUUUCCUCUUCAUUUAGUUGUAACUCUAUCACUUGUUCAACUCCAUUUCCUCCAAGAACAACCGGUGUACCUGCGAAAACAUCCUUGUGUCCAUAUUGGCCUUCUAAUAAUGUAGCACAAAUUAAUACUUUUUUUAAGUCGGUAAGAUAUGAUUCGGCCAUUUCUAUAGCACCAGUAGCAGGUGCAACAAAAGGAGAAGCAUAUAAGUUGACAAUUUCUAAAGCAGUGUUAACAGUUUUAUCACAAAUUGCAUCAAUUUCAGCAUCGGUACUCCUGAGUUUUGAUAUAAUAACUGUACCAUAACAUCUACUGGAUUUGUUAUAACAAUAAUAAAUGCAUUUGGACAAAGUUUUUUAAUAUUACC
This 940-nucleotide long non-coding RNA is filed under the name Piliocolobus tephrosceles (Ugandan red Colobus). RNAcentral's name for it is "lncRNA (ENSPTEG00000006923.1)". The record is from RNAcentral. Lineage: Eukaryota; Metazoa; Chordata; Mammalia; Primates; Cercopithecidae.